GGAAAUCUCACCAGGCCCGGACACUGGAAGGAUUGACAGAUUGAUAGCUCUUUCUUGAUUCAGUGGGUGGUGGUGCAUGGCCGUUCUUAGUUGGUGGAGUGAUUUGUCUGGUUAAUUCGGAUAACGAACGAGACUCUGUCCUGCUAACUAGCCCUCGGGUCCUGCUUCUGUUGGGCCCGACGGAAUGAUUCGCUUCUUAGAGGGACUCGCGGCGCCUAGCCGCACGAAGGGGGGCGAUAA
RNAcentral lists this ribosomal RNA (240 nucleotides) under uncultured eukaryote. RNAcentral describes it as "partial 18S ribosomal RNA". It matches the Rfam family "Eukaryotic small subunit ribosomal RNA", at positions 1208 to 1456 of the family's 1831-position model. The record is from RNAcentral.